Molecule: ribosomal RNA, 486 nt
Filed under: uncultured bacterium
Lineage: Bacteria
Description: bacterial SSU rRNA
Rfam family: Bacterial small subunit ribosomal RNA
Source: RNAcentral
AGGACGAACGCUGGCCGGCGUGCCUAACACAUGCAAGUCGAACGAAGCUCUGCGAUACAAGACUUCGGUCAAGUUGAACGGAUGACUUAGUGGCGGACGGGUGAGUAACGCGUGAGGAACCUGCCUUUCAGUGGGGGACAACAGUUGGAAACGACUGCUAAUACCGCAUAAUGUAUUCUGACCGCAUGAUCGGAAUACCAAAGAUUUAUUGCUGAAAGAUGGCCUCGCGUCUGAUUAGAUAGUUGGUGAGGUAACGGCUCACCAAGUCGACGAUCAGUAGCCGGACUGAGAGGUUGAACGGCCACAUUGGGACUGAGAUACGGCCCAGACUCCUACGGGAGGCAGCAGUGGGGAAUAUUGGGCAAUGGGGGAAACCCUGACCCAGCAACGCCGCGUGAAGGAAGAAGGCUUUCGGGUUGUAAACUUCUUUUACCAGGGACGAAGGACGUGACGGUACCUGGAGAAAAAGCCACGGCUAACUACGUG